RNAcentral lists this ribosomal RNA (253 nucleotides) under uncultured bacterium. RNAcentral's name for it is "partial 16S ribosomal RNA". It matches the Rfam family "Bacterial small subunit ribosomal RNA", at positions 524 to 776 of the family's 1533-position model. The record is from RNAcentral.
UACGUAGGGUGCGAGCGUUGUCCGGAAUUACUGGGCGUAAAGAGCUCGUAGGUGGUUUGUCGCGUUGUUCGUGAAAACUCACAGCUCAACUGUGGGCGUGCGGGCGAUACGGGCAGACUGGAGUACUGCAGGGGAGACUGGAAUUCCUGGUGUAGCGGUGAAAUGCGCAGAUAUCAGGAGGAACACCGGUGGCGAAGGCGGGUCUCUGGGCAAUAACUGACGCUGAGGAGCGAAAGCGUGGGGAGCGAACAGG